CUAUUUCUUAAAAUCUUAUUUGAUGAAAGUUAAAAACUUUGGAAUUCUUUAAGAGGAAACAAAAUAUAAAACUAUAUUUUUGAGUUUAUUAUUGUCAUAGAAUUUUGAGAGAGAAAAUAACUAAAAGUUUAAAUGUGACAUUAUUUUCAUUAAUUAAUUUUGAAUAGAAUAUUGUAAAUUAUUCUUUUUAAACAAUAGUUAAUGUCAUGUAUAUUUUAUCUGGUAAAAUUAAAAUUUUAAUUAAUUGAUUUUUUCACUAAAAUGAUGAGAAAUAAG
This 276-nucleotide unclassified non-coding RNA is filed under the name Hevea brasiliensis (rubber tree). The record is from RNAcentral. Lineage: Eukaryota; Viridiplantae; Streptophyta; Magnoliopsida; Malpighiales; Euphorbiaceae.